Non-coding RNA from Pan troglodytes (chimpanzee), 3596 nucleotides. The record is from RefSeq and is a predicted model, not a curated record. Lineage: Eukaryota; Metazoa; Chordata; Mammalia; Primates; Hominidae.
AGAGGAGAAGCGGGCGCGGGGAGGAAAAGCAGGAGGAGGCAGAGGCGGUCCGGGCCGGGCCUGACCCCUGCGUCCCGGGGGCACAGGCGUUCUUAAGGCUGCAGAGCCCUGGGUCCCCCACCCGGCCCCGGUUCACUUUGAGCGGUCCCAAGGCCUGAGGGCCUACUGUCCAGUCCCCGGGUUAUCGUCCUGAGCAAAGACAGACCCCGAGCCCUGCGGUCUUGGGGCUCAAACAGUCCCUGGAUGGCCAAACAAGCGAAUAUUCGCCAUGGCAGUGGGUGCUGGAAGGGUGGCUCACGGAGCUGACGCCCUCUGCAGAGAACCGUGGUCUAGUCCUGCGGUCACGAGGCCUAUCUGGGACAGUGGUGUUUGAGCUGAGACUUUAACGAAUAGAGACAGGUGAGGUUCCUGCAGCCCAGGGCAUCAGGCACUGUGCUAAGCAGUUUUCCUGGAAGUGUCUACCUCAUUUCGUUCGCUGAAUAGCUCUAAGAGUGUGAACAACCCCAGAAGGAAAAAGAGUGCUGUUGUUAAAGGUAUCUGGCAUCGUGGACCCAACCAUCACCAGGAGUUUCUCACUUCAUCUCUGCUUUAUUGUAGUAUAAUUUGCAUACAAUAAUGGCACACAUUUAAUGUGCACAGUGUGAUAAAUUUUGACAUAUGUAUACAUCCAUGAAGCCGGCACCACAAUCAAGAUAAUGAACAUCUCGCUUACCGCAGAAGUUUCCUGUGCCCUCUCACUCCUCCGUAUUCCUCCAUCCUCAGGAUUUCAUCAAAUGGUCUGCUGCACUGUGCUGGAAUUUUGAACUCCCCAGAGUAGUAAACAACAUCUUCUCAAGGGUAUACAAAUCAUCAGAUAGAGAAAACACCCAUUAUAGAGCUGUGGAGCCCUUACGAUAUAGUGCUAUGCUGCAACAAAGUAGACAGAAGAGUAUUUGUUGAAUAAUAAAAGCUUCAUUUAACCUCUCAGGGCAGUCAUAGAGUUGGUGGAUAAUCAAGACAAGAAUCACCGUUUAAUUUUUAUCAUUCAAGACUGAGUUUUGGCAGAGACUUACGGCUUCCAGAUUGCGGGUUUUAUUUAUUUGCUUGAGCAUUUACUAAACAGUUUUAAUAACCAAGCUCUGGAUGAGUUGCUGGAAGGCAGUUCAAGUAACUGCCUUAGUAUCAAUUGUUAUUAUUUUGAAUUGGUUAUGAAGUUGAAUAAGUUUGGAGUAUCCUUAACCAUACUUUUUCCAAUCCAACCUGGAGAUGUUCCAUGAAGGAAAUUCUGGAAAUUAUCGUUCUGACUUCUUUGCAAUGUAGAGGACACCACGGAAGGGGAUGACAAGGACUUUGAGAUCUCCAAAGCACCGAUCUAAUGAAAGAAAACUUAAUCUAGGAGGUGAAAGAGAAACCAAGACUGGAAGACACAGUUGAAAUGGAUUGCCACGUUUAUACAUACAUUGAUUUUUACAUGACUGCAUUCAGAAACAAAAUACCAUCCUCUGUGAUUAAUUUAUACAGCUUCCCUCUCAGUUAAAUUAAAAACAAAGUGAAUCCAUAGCAGCAGAUCCCCUUUUAGUUAGAGAUCUAACCUUUCUCAAGAAGCAAACAUGGAUUUAUACCUCCCUCAUUUGAUGGUCAGCUUAGGACGAUUGCUGAAUUCUCUGACACUGUUGGGAAUCCGCACAGUAAAAUACAUGUGAUUUCUACUGAAAAUUCAGAUAUAAGUCAAUCUGCUACAUUGGAGAGGUAAGAGAUUCUGAUUCUGCCACUUAAUCAUCUUCUGAAUAUUAGGCCAGGAAAGAGGAAGUAUAACAUGACUUAAAUUUUUGAGGGGACUGGGAAUCUAUGCACCUCUCUCCAUAAUUGUGACCGUGACUUAGCUAGUGCGGUCGUGCAGCAUGUCACACAUACUGGCUGGUAAAAUAUAAGAUGAUUAAAUAAAGUACAUGAAACAAUGUAUUUUUUUUUUCUGAGACGGAGGCUGGCUCUGUCACCCAGGCUGGAGUGCAGUGGCGCCAUCUCGGCUGACUGCAAGCUCCACCUCCCAGGUUCACGCCAUUCUCUUGCUUCAGCCUCCCAAAGUAGCUGGGACUACAGGCGCCCGCCCCCAUGCCAGGCUAAUUUUGUUUUUGUAUUUUUAGUAGAGAUGGGGUUUCACCGUGUUAGCCAGGAUGGUCUCGAUCUCCUGACCUCGUGAUCCGCCUGCCUCGGCCUCCUAAAGUGCUGGGAUUACAGGCGUGAGCCACUGCACCCGGCCGAGACAAUGUACUUUAUUUAGUGGCUACAGAUUCAUUUUUAUAUGUAUUAAAAUAUUGCUAGAACCUCAACUCUUUGGUUUCAUGGAUAAAAUUCUCAGGACAUUGUGAAAAUAAAGGCCUUAAUUUGAAACAAACUUUAAGACAAUUUUAGAGAAAAUACUACAAUGGGGUAUGCAAGAUAUGCAUGAAGAAAGUGAAGGACUGAAGUAUGGGAACUACCACUAGGAUAGACUUAUUUUUCUUCCUUUUAAGAUGUUGGUGAGCCUUGUCUGUCUUUUCUGAAGUAUUUGGAGAAAAGGGAGGGAGGACAGAGUGGGAGGAAGAGAGAAAAUGGACCUGACCAGUUAGAGAACUAUAGUUAUUCAAAGUUCAUCAAGUAGAAAAAGAGAAACAUUCAAAAACAUAUUUUGAAAUAUAUUUUGAAAAAACAAAUACAAACAUUUAGAGAAUAAUGUCAUGAACCCCAAUAUAGCUAUCACCCAAAUUCAACAAUGGAUUUUGUUGGGUUCUCAGAUCAAGUCAUGACCAAUCUUGUUUCAGUUGCAUCCCACCCAUUUCCUUUCAUCCUCCCAGAUUAUUUUGAAGCAAAUCCCAGGUAUCAUAUCUUGUCUAUAUGUAUCUCAGCAGUCAUCUUAGAAAGAUAAGAACUUUUUUUAAAAACAGAGAUUUCCAGUUGCUUUUCUGGCAGGUAAGAAACAUAGAAGUUGCCACUCUGUCCUAACAAGUACAAAUAAAUGAGGUCAUCAGACCCAUCAAAGAAAUGAGGUCACAGGAAAGACUACUGUCCCCAAAAUUGGAGAGAUUGGGAGCUACAAUCCAAGAUGAGAUUUGGGUGGGGAUACAACCAAACCAUAUCACCAUGCUAACAUCAGGCAAAAGAACUGGAAGUAGCUAUACUAAUUUCAGACACAGCAGACCUCAGAGCCAGGAAAAUUAUCAGAAAUAAAGAGGGGAUAUUACUUAAUGAUAAAAGUGUCAAUGCUCCAAGAAGACAUAACAGUCUUUAAGAUGUGUAUGCCUAAGGACAGUGUCAAAAUAGUUGAAACAGAAACUGAGAGAAUUGCAAGGAGAAACAGGAGAAUCCACCCUUAUAGUUGGAGACUCCAACACUCCUCUAUUAGAAGAGGACAGAUCCAAAAGGUGGAGGACGUGGUUGAACUCAAGAGCACCAUCAGUCAACUUGUAUUGCACAUAUUAGAAAAGAAGAAUCUCAAAUCAAUAAUUUAAGCCCUCACCUUAGGAAGCUAGAAAAGGAAGAGCAAAUUAAAUCCAAAGUAAGCGGAAGAAAAGAAAUAAUAAAAGCUAGAAUGCACAUCAAUACAAUUGAGAAACAAAAAGUCAACAAAGAAAAUAAAU